This 392-nucleotide unclassified non-coding RNA is filed under the name soil metagenome. RNAcentral's name for it is "partial contains 5.8S ribosomal RNA, internal transcribed spacer 2, and large subunit ribosomal RNA". The stretch from base 1 to 120 matches the Rfam family "5.8S ribosomal RNA", at positions 35 to 154 of the family's 154-position model. The record is from RNAcentral.
GAUGAAGAACGUAGCGAAAUGCGAUAAGUAAUGUGAAUUGCAGAAUUCAGUGAAUCAUCGAAUCUUUGAACGCAUCUUGCGCUCCUUGGUAUUCCGAGGAGCAUGCCUGUUUGAGUGUCAUUUAACUUCUCAACCACAUUGGAUAUUUUUUUUCCGAUGCCGGCUUGGAUGUGGGGGUUGUUUGCAGGCUUUUUGUAACAAAAAAGGUCGGCUCCCCUGAAAUGUAUUAGUGGUAUCUGAGGCUAUUACUAUUAGGUGUGAUAAUUAUCUAUGCCUUUUGGGUAUGCCGCAUGAACAGAUUAUGCUGCUUCUAACGAAAACUAUUUUGAUGAAUUUGACCUCAAAUCAGGUAGGACUACUCGCUGAAAUUAAGCAUAUCAAUAAGCGGAGGA